UGUACCAGGAGUGGGACGAAGUAGCAUAACUCCCGGCGAGGCGGGAGCUACUCUGCAAGCCUGCUGAAAGAAGAAAACAAAAAAACUCAAAAUAACCUUAAAAACAGAAACCGAAGCAUACGCCAAACCUUCGAAAUGUACAUGUACUGGACUACUUUUUUGUAACGUUGAUAAUAUAUUCUAUGUGAAGAAAGUAUUUAUACUUUUUUUUUCUAUUUGCACUAACUAACGGUACUUCAGAACUACUGAGAAUCUUCAUUUUUUACAAAAAAGUAAGAAACUAUUAAUCACACCCUGUGGGAGGACAUCACUUCACUUCAAAACCAGCACUUUUUUUUAACCUGUUUUAUCAACAUCUACUGGUUGCUUUGACCAUCCUGCCUGGAGAGCAUCUGUGUUGCCAACCACGGAUAAACAAAGCAGCCCCAGUGGACACAUUCAAGGUCAGAAACACCCAAUCUUCACGCACCUGGUAAACUUCGGCAGUUAGCUAUGCAGCUUGAAAUCCAAGUAGCUCUCAACUUCAUCAUCUCCUACCUUUACAACAAGCUGCCGAGGCGGCGGGUUAACAUUUUCGGCGAGGAGCUGGAAAGGCAGCUGAAGCAGAAAUAUGAGGGACACUGGUACCCCGACAAGCCAUACAAGGGCUCAGGAUUCAGAUGUAUCCACGUGGGGGAGAAGGUGGACCCUGUGGUGGAGAAGGCAGCCAAAGAGAGCGGGCUGGACAUCGAGGAUGUCCGCAACAACCUGCCUCAGGACCUCAGUGUCUGGAUUGACCCCUUCGAGGUGUCCUAUCAGAUUGGAGAGAAGGGGCCCGUCAAAGUACUGUAUGUCGAUGACACCAACGAGAGUGGAGCUACAAAUGGGGGGAUUGAUCUGGACAAGGAGAUCAAGAACAGUUUCAAUCCUGACGCGCAGGUAUUCAUGCCCAUCAGUGAGCCUGUGAGCAGCGCCUCUCCAGGCUCCACCUCACCCUCUCCUCCUUUCGGCCACUCGGCGGCAGUCAGCCCCACCUUCAUGCCCCGCUCCACGCAGCCUUUAACCUUCACAACAGCCACCUUCGCCGCCACCAAGUUUGGCUCCACUAAGAUGAAGAGCAGCGGACGCAACAACAAUGGCGGCAGUGGUGGCGGCAGUAGUGCUGGGAACAAGGUGGCACGCACCUCUCCCACCAACCUGGGCCUGAAUGUGAACAGUCUCCUGAAACAGAAAGCCAUCUCCACCUCCAUGCACUCUCUGUACGGGCUGGGCCUCGGGGUGCAGCAGCAGCAGCAGCAGCAGCACCAGAAGCCCUCGGCCCUGUCCCCCAACGCCAAGGAGUUUGUGUUCCCCAGCCUUCAGGGCCAGGGCAGCCAGAGCGCUCUGUUCCCCGGGGACAGCUCGCUCAGCCUCAGCCCGUUGCAGUACAGCAAUGCCUUCGACAUGUUUGCGGCCUACGGUGGCCUUAACGACAAGUCCCUUAUGGAUGGCUUGAAUUUCAGCUUAAACAACAUGCAGUAUUCUAACCAGCAAUUCCAGCCAGUUAUGGCCAACUAGUACACGUUAAGGUACUACUUAAGCUACUACUUCACACAGAAACGACCAGAGAUAAUGUGAUUGGGGGGGGGGGGAGGAAACAAACAUAAAUGCACAUUAUGAAAAAUGGGGAAAAAAAAAAAAACGUGUAAACAUGUCAUGGAUAAAAGGAAAAAGUGACUUGUCAGCUGUAAGAUCUAUGUAGGAGUCUAAGAGCAUGAGCCCGAGGGUGAAUUACUUUGCCCCCUUGAGUUAUACCUUUAGUACAAGAUGUCCGAGCUUGGUUACCUAAAACUUCAACAUGCAUCAUUGUUAUUUCAUUUGCCAACCAAGCACAAAAUAUUUUUUUUUAUGUGACGAAAUGUUUUAAGAUAUAAAAAAAAAGACAAAAAAAACACCACCACAAGUCAUGGCCUCUUUCAGUAUUUAAACAUAACUGGACAACGCCAAUUUUUUCAAGAAAUUGGCAUAAAUAAGUGGGAUUUCCUGGUCUUUUUUCUAUUUGUAUAAUUUAAUUUAGUACAGAGUUUGUAAAAUAUCAGAGUAUCUAUUGUUUCUACGACAUGGUAUUGCAUUUAUAUCUUUUUACUACUCCAGUGAUCUGUGAUGGCUGCAGCAACGUUAUGUUUUCUUUUUUUAUUGAAAUUAUAAAAUGAAUCCAUCUUUAAGAAACACAUGACUAUUCUAAAGAUUGUGUACAGAAUAUUCCGUAGUGGUGGGAUUUAAGAAUAUUUGCUUUUUUGAAAAACAUAAGAGUUGUAUUUUCUGUUAAGAGUUUAAAGAUUUUUGCUAUAUUAUGGACAAAAUGUAAUCGUAUAUUAAUUUUGUACCUACAUUGUGCAAUACUUGAUAAAACAAACGGUAUAACAAAGUAUUUGGAGUCAGUGUCUUACAUGUUAAGAGGAACUGAUAGUUUAUUAAGUUUGUAUUAAAAAGCUUGAAAAUAA
Molecule: RNA transcript, 2462 nt
Organism: Trematomus bernacchii (emerald rockcod)
Lineage: Eukaryota; Metazoa; Chordata; Actinopteri; Perciformes; Nototheniidae
Gene name: protein Tob1-like
Exons: 3
Source: RefSeq, a predicted model, not a curated record